This 21-nucleotide non-coding RNA is filed under the name Arabidopsis thaliana (thale cress). The record is from RNAcentral. Lineage: Eukaryota; Viridiplantae; Streptophyta; Magnoliopsida; Brassicales; Brassicaceae.
UAAUGGUCCCAUGAUGUGUGU